Molecule: ribosomal RNA, 838 nt
Filed under: uncultured bacterium
Lineage: Bacteria
Description: bacterial SSU rRNA
Rfam family: Bacterial small subunit ribosomal RNA
Source: RNAcentral
UCANCCAUAGUGUGCUCUGGAAACUGUNUGACUUGAGUGCAGAAGGGGAGAGUGGAAUUCCAUGUGUAGCGGUGAAAUGCGUAGAUAUAUGGAGGAACACCAGUGGCGAAAGCGGCUCUCUGGUCUGUCACUGACGCUGAGGCUCGAAAGCGUGGGUAGCGAACAGGAUUAGAUACCCUGGUAGUCCACGCCGUAAACGAUGAGUGCUAGGUGUUAGGCCCUUUCCGGGGCUUAGUGCCGGAGCUAACGCAAUAAGCACUCCGCCUGGGGAGUACGACCGCAAGGUUGAAACUCAAAGGAAUUGACGGGGGCCCGCACAAGCGGUGGAGCAUGUGGUUUAAUUCGAAGCAACGCGAAGAACCUUACCAGGUCUUGACAUCCCGAUGCUAUUCUUAGAGAUAGGAGGUUACUUCGGUACAUCGGAGACAGGUGGUGCAUGGUUGUCGUCAGCUCGUGUCGUGAGAUGUUGGGUUAAGUCCCGCAACGAGCGCAACCCUUAUUGUGAGUUGCCAUCAUUAAGUUGGGCACUCUAGCGAGACUGCCGGUAAUAAACCGGAGGAAGGUGGGGAUGACGUCAAAUCAUCAUGCCCCUUAUGACCUGGGCUACACACGUGCUACAAUGGUCGGUACAACGAGUUGCGAGCCGGUGACGGCAAGCUAAUCUCUGAAAGCCGAUCUCAGUUCGGAUUGGAGGCUGCAACUCGCCUCCAUGAAGUCGGAAUCGCUAGUAAUCGCGGAUCAGCACGCCGCGGUGAAUACGUUCCCGGGCCUUGUACACACCGCCCGUCACACCACGAGAGUUUGUAACACCCGAAGUCGGUGAGGUANCCUUUUAGGG